RNAcentral lists this ribosomal RNA (379 nucleotides) under uncultured bacterium. Its description in RNAcentral is "bacterial SSU rRNA". It matches the Rfam family "Bacterial small subunit ribosomal RNA", at positions 30 to 410 of the family's 1533-position model. The record is from RNAcentral.
AUUGAACGCUGGCGGCAUGCCUUACACAUGCAAGUCGAACGGCAGCACGGGGGCAACCCCUGGUGGCGAGUGGCGAACGGGUGAGUAAUAUAUCGGAACGUACCCUGGAGUGGGGGAUAACGUAGCGAAAGUUACGCUAAUACCGCAUACGAUCUAAGGAUGAAAGUGGGGAUCGCAAGACCUCAUGCUCCCGGAGCGGCCGAUAUCUGAUUAGCUAGUUGGUGGGGUAAAGCCUACCAAGGCAUCGAUCAGUAGCUGGUCUGAGAGGACGACCAGCCACACUGGGACUGAGACACGGCCCAGACUCCUACGGGAGGCAGCAGUGGGGAAUUUUGGACAAUGGGGGCAACCCUGAUCCAGCAAUGCCGCGUGAGUGAAG